Molecule: long non-coding RNA, 328 nt
Filed under: Setaria viridis
Lineage: Eukaryota; Viridiplantae; Streptophyta; Magnoliopsida; Poales; Poaceae
Description: long non-coding RNA (SVIR_LNC008973)
Source: RNAcentral
CAGGAACACUUCGCAGAGAUGUACAAAUAUAGCCAUGUGCAGUACUCCAUUGGGAUUCAAGUGGACGAGUUGAAGACUGUAAUACUCGAGAAUACCUCUGAAGAAGUCGGAGGUUUCUUACCCAUCUUCUUGGAGCGCAUCCGCUAGGCCUCAACCUCAAGUUAAGAGGUUUCCACCCGGAUCUAAGCAGCAAUGGCGGAGGCGGCAGCACUGGCAGCGGUGACAGCGAACGAAGGCACAAAAGAGGAGGAAGAAAACAGAUCUAAUGCCCGUGCGGCGUCACAAUAACUGAAAAGGGGGUUUUCCAGAUUUAUCUCCGCCAGUUCCG